AGUGAACGCUGGCGGUAGGCCUAACACAUGCAAGUCGAACGGCAGCACAGUAAGAGCUUGCUCUUACGGGUGGCGAGUGGCGGACGGGUGAGGAAUACAUCGGAAUCUACUUUUUCGUGGGGGAUAACGUAGGGAAACUUACGCUAAUACCGCAUACGACCUACGGGUGAAAGCAGGGGAUCUUCGGACCUUGCGCGAUUGAAUGAGCCGAUGUCGGAUUAGCUAGUUGGCGGGGUAAAGGCCCACCAAGGCGACGAUCCGUAGCUGGUCUGAGAGGAUAAUCAGCCACACUGGAACUGAGACACGGUCCAGACUCCUACGGGAGGCAGCAGUGGGGAAUAUUGGACAAUGGGCGCAAGCCUGAUCCAGCCAUACCACGUGGGUGAAGAAGGCCUUCGGGUUGUAAAGCCCUUUUGUUGGGAAAGAAAAGCAGCAGGUUAAUACCCCGCUGUUCUGACGGUACCCAAAGAAUAAGCACCGGCUAACUUCGUG
Molecule: ribosomal RNA, 492 nt
Filed under: uncultured bacterium
Lineage: Bacteria
Description: partial 16S ribosomal RNA
Rfam family: Bacterial small subunit ribosomal RNA
Source: RNAcentral